This 312-nucleotide long non-coding RNA is filed under the name Marmota monax (woodchuck). The record is from RNAcentral. Lineage: Eukaryota; Metazoa; Chordata; Mammalia; Rodentia; Sciuridae.
UGGCACAGGGAUUGGAGGGGUCAAGGCCUAGGUCCACUGCUGGCUGGGUAUCAGGAUUGGACAGCUGGGCCCAGGCUGAGGGAGGCCAAAGGGGCCAGACAAGCAGCAGGACUACAUUUUCCCAAAGGGAGCACACAGGGACAAGAAACCAGGUCUAGUUCCCUGGCCCUGGUGAUAAUCCUGGAAAAGAUUUAGAAAAAGGGGCCUGGCAGGGACAGAGACGACAGGAGGGCCAAAGAAAGGCACAGCGUGAAGGGACCCAAGAUGGGUGCUCGUGAGGUGGGGGCCAGGACCCCAGAAAAGAGCCCAGGC